UACGAAGGGUGCAAACGUUGCUCGGAAUCAUUGGGCGUAAAGCGCACGUAGGCGGCGCAACAAGUCGGACGUGAAAUCCCUCGGCUCAACCGAGGACGUGCAUCCGAAACUGUUGUGCUCGAGUAUGGAAGAGGGUCGCGGAAUUCUCGGUGUAGAGGUGAAAUUCGUAGAUAUCGGGAGGAACACCAGUGGCGAAGGCGGCGACCUGGGCCAAUACUGACGCUGAGGUGCGAAAGCGUGGGGAGCGAACAGG
RNAcentral lists this ribosomal RNA (253 nucleotides) under uncultured bacterium. RNAcentral describes it as "partial 16S ribosomal RNA". It matches the Rfam family "Bacterial small subunit ribosomal RNA", at positions 524 to 776 of the family's 1533-position model. The record is from RNAcentral.